RNAcentral lists this long non-coding RNA (6524 nucleotides) under Marmota monax (woodchuck). Lineage: Eukaryota; Metazoa; Chordata; Mammalia; Rodentia; Sciuridae. The record is from RNAcentral.
GGUAGCUGAGAGCUUGGAAAGCUUUCUAAGUCCUGCUUGGGCAUGCGCUCACCUGGUCCUGUCACAGCUGAGAACCCAGGCCUAGGUCUCUUGAGUAAACUGCCCUGGCUAUCAGCGAGUUAGUGGUAGAGGCAGUGCUCAGACCAGGCAGGACCAUUUCUGUGGCCGCCCCAGGGAGACUGCUGACCCUGGGAGCAGCCCUGUUCUCACUCAGAUGGUCCAGGGAAGUUCAGCUUCUCUUCACUUUUCCUGGGUGCUCGGUUAUGGACGGUCGCAAGGUAAGACCACCUUGCGCUGUUAGAAGGCCUUCCUCUUCUUUGGUGUCCCAAACUACGAGUGUCACAACUGAUUUCACAGAUUUCCCUGCCUUUGGCAAGAGAGGACGAGGACUGAUAUUUUCUGUGUGCCCGAUGUGCCAGUGGCUAGGCUGGUACCACCCCACUGGACCUUCUGGGCCUGGUUUUCAGGCAGGGAGCAGGCUCAGCGGGCAUGUCCUGCUCUCCUGUUCUUGGUGUGAGGUGGACCUCUGCGGCUCUGCUGGGCUCAAACCUGUGCAGAACUGUGGAGCAAACAGGGUUGAAGUGACAGUUCUCAGGGAGGGAGGUGACUUGGGUCUUUCCAUGGCCCUUGGACUUGGAAGGGGCCACAGCAGACUUAGCAAUCCCCUUCGGGUGGGUCUCCUGAAGCCGCACCUGCCUCCCUGCGCACUCCUUGAGCGAGGGACUUGCCACGGCUCCAGACAGACGUCAGCAUUUGGGGACAGCUGGAAUUGUUAAAGAGCUUUGUCAUUUUUAAUGAGCUACUGAACCAAAAUCUGCUCCCUGGACGUUCUCAGGUGACUGACCUCUCUUGGCUUGGGGUGUACACAGCUCUGACUCGAUUCUCCCUGGAGAGCAGUGUGAAACCCCAGCCCUCUUCGGUGGGCCACGGCAGGUCCAUCAGCCAAACAGAACGGUACAGAUGUUGCCCAAGACCCAGGCCCUCCCAGAUCAGCACCCAAGACACAUCCCCACUCAGCUCUAGCUCCACACGGGUGUCCCUAGUGCUUUAGUGUUGGGCUGCUUCAGGACCCCCCCCCCAGGUCUGACCGUCUUCGGGCACAGAACCCGUCAACAUAGGUCUCUGGGCCUCAUGUUUCCAGGGCUCCUGUUUUAUUCAGCUUCACAUCACUGUGGCCAAUGGCUUGGAGGAGGGAACCUUUAUUUGGCCUUACUGUAUCAGAGGGUAAAUCCAAGGUCAUCGGACUCCAUAGCUGGGACUCAAGGUGAGGCAGAACAGGAGGGGAGGAAAGCAGAGAGAGCUCGGUUCAGCAGGGACAGACAUAAACCCAGGCACCCCUCAGGGACCCACCUCCUCCAGCCACACCCUGCCUGACGACAGUCACCACCCGCUAAUUCACAUCAGUGGAUUAAUCCACUGCUCAGGUUACAGCUGUUACAAUCCGGCCAGUCAUCUCUCCUCUGAACACUCUUGCACUGUCUCACACAGGAGCCCUUGGGGGACACCUCGUAUCCUGACCACAACAGGGAGGAUGGUGACUCGGGUCUUUCCAUGAGAAUCUAGGCCAGGUCUCUUGAGUACACUGCCCUGGCUAUCAGCUAGUUGUCACAAGCCUGCUCAGAGCUAACACAGGAGCGUCACACAGCCCGAGUCCCCGCCCAGCAGGUCUGUGUCCAGCAGCCCUUAGCUCUCCGCGAGGGGGAUUAACCAGCCCAGCACAGGAGGGGCGUUUCGUAGGGAGCCUUUGGUGGCCUGCUAGCCACACUCCCCCACAGCAGAUUUCUCCCUCACAGCCCAGGACAGCAGAUCUGCUCACCACAUAGCCAUGGCCUCCCGGGUGGCACAGGCCUGUCUCAUGCUUUGUAUGUCACGGGGUCAUCUAGUGCCUCCUGUGUUGGGGAACUCAGCUGGCCUUGGACAGAGGUGGGAGGGCAGCUCACAAACACCUGCGCCGUUUCUGAACCAGGUGUGACAGUGCAGGGGAGGCACAGUGAAGGGCACUGGGGGGGUCUGGAGGCCUUUGUAGGUCGGAGGUAAGUGAGUGGCACCCAGAUAGGGAGGCCGAUUCUCCUCUCCCCACCACAUCCACCAAUUCCAUGAACUAGAGGGGCCAACCUUCACUCCCGGGGCCAACCUUCACUCUGGGGGGGGCUGCAGGACAGAUCCUCAUCAGGCUUCCCAGAGAGGCAGAGCUACUGGAGGGUGGGUGGAGUAGAGUCGUGAUGUGAGGGGGUUGGUCACCCACCCUUACCCUAGGAGGGCCAGGGGCCGCGCCAUCAGUGCACCCCUGGGUGAAUCCCAGGAGUCACUUCAUGUUGGAGGACUUUCCCAAGCUCAGGCCCAGGUAAGUCCUGGGAAUGCAUGAGUGGGCUGGCCAAGCGCGUGUCUGGCCGGCUGUGUGCGGAAAGCAUUUUGAACAUGUGCUAUUUCCAACUGACAGUGGGUUGAUGGGGACUUGCCCCAUCCCCAGUGGAUGAACCACGGAGUGUAGGAGGAGUUUGAAGAAUGGCUCAUGCAGUCACAGAGGCUGGCGUGACCGAGCUGCUCAGGGUGGGAUGGCAGAAGAGCCGACAGAGGGUCAGGUCUGAAGGUGACGGUCUGCUGCAGAGUGGCUUGUGGCUCCAGGGGCCUCAGACUUGGUUCUGUUAGGGCCUUCCAUUAUGCUGUGGCUUGAGGCUGAAACUUGAUCCCCACCGCGAGGGACCAAGAGGGUGGGCUCCAUCUGUAGUGGUGGGAGAGGUGAGGCCCCGGGAGGUGAUUGGGGUUAGGUAGAUCACAGGUGGCCCCGUCACUGAGUCCUGGUGGUCUAAGAGAAGGGAGAGAGACAGCUGACCUCCCUAUCUCUGCCGUGAGAUGCCCGGCCUGCCUCAGGGCGCUGCAGCGGAAGCCUUCCCCAGGUGCCACCCAGAGCCCCUCCAGGACAGGAGCAGAGUCAGGCUGCUCUUCAGAGAGCCCCGUCUGUGGUGGCGAGUUAUCACCACAGAAAAGGCCCUGAGGAGCGCCAGCAGGUGCGGCCCAGCCCCUCACAGAGGCCGAUCUGGACCCAACGCCCACGGAUGACCCAGUGUCGUGGCUCACUGUGAGAGCCCAGUCCAGGGCCUGCCAUCUGGGCCGGUCCCACUGGUCGUCAGCAGGCCCCUUGUUUCGUCGGGUUCUUCUUUUCUGUUUUGUUUUUCUUCCUGGGCCUUAUUUUAUUUUGUAUUUUGAGACAGGGUCUCACAAGUCCACAGGACCUAGGUAGCUGUGGAUGCCCCAUCCUCCCGCCUCAGCACCCCGAGAGCGCACCUUAUUUAACCCCUGCUGGUCUCUGGGGGCAGCCGCGGCCAGCAGGGCUGCCUCGGCCCUCCCUAGGGCACUCGGGGCUUCCUGCUCUGAGGAGCACCAGGGAGUUGCCACACUCACGUGGGCUGUUUCCAAGGGUGGGCUCACCCACAGCAGCACAAAAAUGUGGGAAGCGCAGCACUAACCAGACCUGAGGAGACCUCUGUUCACAGGGUGGGGCCUGGAGCAGGACCUGGAGCCCCUGGGCCCCACCAGGACCUGUGCCCCUGAGGCCGACGGCUCGCUCUCUGUGCACGUCCUGGGAUGACUGAGGGCUUCGUGAGCAUUGAUCUGGGGGUGCCAAUGGAACUGAGCACCUGGGAGAGGGUGUGGACACUGGAGACCUGGUAGGAGGCGAGCCCUGCGGGUGGUGGGCGUGGCGACGGAGAAGGAGGCGUCGACCAGUGAGGCUGAGGCCAAUGUUAGGGGACUUUCAUGAGGACUCCCAGCUGGGGCUCAGCGUCUUCCAUAAAAGAGUUUUCCAAAGUGAGCAAGGGUUGGAUUUGCAUUUUAGUUCUGCGGACUUCAGGUAAAGAUGGAAGUGGGGAGAUGGCAUGAGGGUGGUCACAGGGAAUGUAGGAGAUGUCCACUUUCUAAACUGCCCCGUGACAGAGGAGUGGAGGGAGGAGGAGAUGGUAUGGGCAUGAGGAGCAGGCUGGAGGGGUCUAUGGCAUCCUGCAGGCUGGGAACUGCAGUCCCUGGAAGGAAAUCUGCUUUCACAUUGCACACUCUUCUCCUGAGGCAACAGUCUGACCCCCCCCCCAGACUUCUCCAGGCUCUUCCUGUGGAGGGUGGUCUGCAGCCCCCACUCCUGCCCGCCCUUCCUGUCCACUUUCCACACAUCUGGUGGGCAGCUGUAUGCAGGGAGCCUCCCUCCCUCUGGCCAUGGGAGCAGAUGUGCCUGGCUGCUCCUGCAUCUGACCAGUUGGAUUGCCUGGUCUGAGGGAGGACCAUGCUCUGCCCUGCCUCUGCCCACGCGUCCUCCUAGGGAGGCAGAGGGACUCUAGCAGCUCUCCUGUGGACGAGCAGGAGGACUGAGGUUGCAGGAGACUUUCUGACUACCUCAGCCCUGCCUUCUUCUUCCCCUCCAGCUCUGAGCUGCACAGUGUCUUGAAUGACUGACAGCCCGGCCCUGGCCAGGACCGGCUCCUGUUCUCCUCUGAGGGGCUUGCGAGCACCGAACCCUGGACCUCUGCUCAUCACUGCAGCGCCGAGGAGAGGCCACCUCGUUCCCCAGGCCCGGCUUGGAUCUGCAGCCUCUUCAGAUUGUGCACCCAAUGGAGCUCCUGCAGCCCAGAUGUACACCACGAGUAAUGAAUUAUCCAUGAUUAAUUACAACCAACCAGGCCUCCUUCUUCCCCAGGCACUUGAUCUAAAUAUUUACAAGGAAUUCUGAUCAUAUGCUCGCUGUCCAAAUUAAUAUUAUUUCAUCUGAAAAUACAGGAGUGUUUUCAACCCAAAUCAGCUGUUGUUUGGAGUCCAAUCAGCACACCCUGUGGGAAAGCAGAGCCGACGGUUCUGUGUGGUGACGUACAGUGUGGCUGGUCAGCCUUGAGGAAGGGCAGCACAAGGUAAGUGGACAGGCCGGGCUGCACCUGAGGCCUUGCAGGCCCACCUCCCACCCACCCCACGCACCUCCAGGUGGCCUUCAGAGACCCCCGGAACCUGAGACCCAGGUGGGAGGCAGGCCACCUGCUGCCCCACUCCCAGCCUGGACGGGGCGCUCCCCCGGAGCCUGAGGCUCCUCCAGGUCCUGGCAGCUCUGAGGCCGGUGGCUGGGUCAGACUCUGCCAACUUCUACACAUGGCCACCCUCCUGGUCCUGUCUAGCUCACGACACCCUAAUUUGGUCCAGGGUUGGGUUGGCUCCCUCCUGCAGGGGAGCUGGUGCCAGCCUCAGGGCUCAGCCUCAGGCUGAGUCACGAUCACUCUAAGUCAGCUGCAGACCUUCCCUCUGCCAAGGGCUGUUGGAGACAGGAGUUUGUGGCAAAAUCUGGCCACAGCGCGGGUUGGGGCUGGGGCUUCGGGCCAUCUGAGAAAGGUUUGCAGAAGACCAAAGAAGUCCCCAGGCAUCCAGCUCCUUUCUCUUGCCCAGGAGGUCAGAAGCAAGGGGGAGGGGCGCGGAUGAACGCCAGGACUGGGUCUCAGAUGGCACUUUUGCUACAUGGAAUAAUAAAGAUGGUUUAUUUCCAUACACUAAGAAUCUAGGUUUCUUAAAAACGAGUUUUCUGUUUGUUGUCUCAGAAAAGUGUUUUAACUCAUGUCAUUUCCUUCCCCGCAACGUGGGCCGCUGAGAACCUCUGGAGGUGCCCGCUGGGGGACCUGAUAGAAACAGAGCGGGGCUCCUCCAGGUCAUCCAGGCUGCGGCCCCUGCUCGCCUGCCUUCCCCUCCCAGAGCAGCCCAGCCUGAGAGGCCUGCACCUGAGGGGGAACCUGCCGCCACUCCUUGAGGGCUCCUGCCAGGCCGGGGACUCCACUGCUCCAGGGCAGUGCCCAGCUGUGGAGGCCUAGCCCCUACAGGGUUCCGACCCUCACCUCCGGAGAUUAGCAGAGCUUUCCUGGGAUAGAGCCUAGGAAACUGCCUGUCGACAGCCUGCCCCUGGGAAUUCUGACACGGGUUCCCAUCAACUGGAACCCUGACGUGCUGGCCCUGGUCAGCCUGGUCAGGCUCCAGGGUGGCCCAGGUAGGUCGCCCACUGGUCCUUGGCUGGGUGGCAAGGUCUGGAGAUGUGUGUUUGUUCCAGCCUGGGGCUGCCACAGUCCUCUAGUGGGUAGAGGCCUAGGGUGCUCUGGAUGCCCACGGUGCAGAGGACAGCUCCACAACCAAGGGUCAGCUGGCCUCAGGUUUGAGUAGCGCUGGGGAGGACUGGGCUGGUGCAGGCUCACAGUAGUGGGAACACGCUCUACUUCUGAGGCUGCAGCCUGAGGAGCAGAGAGCGUGGGCUGAAGAGAUGGGGCAGUGCCUCCGUACAAGCCAGAGUCCCCUCUCUGCUGGUGGUCACCCCAGGGCAGGCAGGGAAGGCAGAUGGAAAGAGCCUUCAACAGGCCCUGAGAUGCUGAGCAGGGCCCAGACUUCACCCAGCACAAGCUAGGAGAGAGGUACUUGGGGUGAGUUACUAGGAGCGAGGUACUUGGGGUGAGGUGCUUGGGGCGAGGUGCUUGGGGUGAGGUAUUUGGGGUGAGGUGCUUGGGGUGAGGCACUUG